GACGAACGCUGGCGGCGUGCCUAACACAUGCAAGUCGAACGGGGUAAUGACUUCGGUUAUUACUUAGUGGCGAACGGGUGAGUAACGCGUGAGGAACCUGCCUUUGUAUGGGGGAUAACACAGGGAAACUUGUGCUAAUACCGCAUAACAUAUACCUUUCGCAUGUGAGGUAUAUCAAAGAUUUAUUGUACAAAGAUGGGCUCGCGUCUGAUUAGCUAGUUGGUGAGGUAACGGCCCACCAAGGCGACGAUCAGUAGCCGGACUGAGAGGUUGAACGGCCACAUUGGGACUGAGAUACGGCCCAGACUCCUACGGGAGGCAGCAGUGGGGAAUAUUGGGCAAUGGGCGCAAGCCUGACCCAGCAAUGCCGCGUGAAGGAAGAAGGCCUUCGGGUUGGUAAACUU
RNAcentral lists this ribosomal RNA (404 nucleotides) under uncultured bacterium. RNAcentral describes it as "bacterial SSU rRNA". It matches the Rfam family "Bacterial small subunit ribosomal RNA", at positions 28 to 432 of the family's 1533-position model. The record is from RNAcentral.